Molecule: transfer RNA, 72 nt
Filed under: Cavia porcellus (domestic guinea pig)
Lineage: Eukaryota; Metazoa; Chordata; Mammalia; Rodentia; Caviidae
Rfam family: tRNA
About the family: Transfer RNA (tRNA) molecules are approximately 80 nucleotides in length. Their secondary structure includes four short double-helical elements and three loops (D, anti-codon, and T loops). Further hydrogen bonds mediate the characteristic L-shaped molecular structure. tRNAs have two regions of fundamental functional importance: the anti-codon, which is responsible for specific mRNA codon recognition, and the 3' end, to which the tRNAs corresponding amino acid is attached (by aminoacyl-tRNA synthetases). tRNAs cope with the degeneracy of the genetic code in two manners: having more than one tRNA (with a specific anti-codon) for a particular amino acid; and 'wobble' base-pairing, i.e. permitting non-standard base-pairing at the 3rd anti-codon position.
Source: Rfam by way of RNAcentral
GGGGAUUUAGCUCAGUGGUGCAGCGCCUGCCUGAAAAGCAUGAGGUCCUGAGUUCGAUUCCAGGUAUCCCCA